Molecule: long non-coding RNA, 660 nt
Organism: Cucumis melo (muskmelon)
Lineage: Eukaryota; Viridiplantae; Streptophyta; Magnoliopsida; Cucurbitales; Cucurbitaceae
Exons: 2
Source: RefSeq, a predicted model, not a curated record
UCUUUUAAGCAUCGACUAACACGAGCCCGUAGUGUCACAAGUCACUAGUUAUUAACAAAUGUCUAAGGCCUUAGCCACAGGAUAAAAAAGAGUGCUUAAUCAGAAGUCCACCACCCAAUAUUAUUAUUUGUACAAUUUGCUUUCUCUACCUUUCUCUUUUUUCUCCGCCUCGUGAGUCUACACGGUCUAUAUAAGUAUGAGCUUCAACUUUCAUACAAUAUUCUACUAGAAAGAAAGGCAAAAGUUAAGAAGCUGCCAUAGAAGAAUAAUGUGCGUCAGUGCAACACAAAGUGUUCUGUUUCAUACAAUUCAGAGUUCAAAGAACAAGAGAAGUUCAAAAAGAUCAAAAUUUCAAGUUCUGAGGCUUACAAGGAGGAGAUGUGAAGAGAAGCUGGGGAAGGAAAUUGAGCUGAAGAAUCUGCAGCUAUAUCUGGAGAACCAGACCAUAAUUGAAGAGAAUGAGAAACUAAGAGAGAAAGCCAAUAUCCUUCAUCAAGAGAAUUUGGCUUUAUUGACUGAGUUUCAGAAAAAAUUCCCGCAUUUGGAACAGAGAAAGUGAUGGGAAUCAUCAAUAGAGUGCAUGGUUUUAUUUCUGUUCUGAGUGAUUUUUAGAUGUAUUGAACUCUUUAUUCAAUAUAUAUGUGCCAUUUAUCUAGAGUA